RNAcentral lists this transfer RNA (83 nucleotides) under Oryctolagus cuniculus (rabbit). It matches the Rfam family "tRNA". Rfam says of the family: Transfer RNA (tRNA) molecules are approximately 80 nucleotides in length. Their secondary structure includes four short double-helical elements and three loops (D, anti-codon, and T loops). Lineage: Eukaryota; Metazoa; Chordata; Mammalia; Lagomorpha; Leporidae. The record is from Rfam by way of RNAcentral.
GUCAAGAUGGCCGAGGGGUCUAAGGCUCUGUGUUCAGGUUGCGGUCUCCUCUGGAUGUGUGGGUUCAAACCCCACUCCUGACA